This 387-nucleotide ribosomal RNA is filed under the name uncultured bacterium. RNAcentral's name for it is "bacterial SSU rRNA". It matches the Rfam family "Bacterial small subunit ribosomal RNA", at positions 28 to 417 of the family's 1533-position model. The record is from RNAcentral.
GACGAACGCUGGCGGCGUGCUUAACACAUGCAAGUCGAGCGGUAAGGCCCUUUCGGGGGUACACGAGCGGCGAACGGGUGAGUAACACGUGGGUGACCUGCCCUCAGCUCUGGGAUAGGCCUGGGAAACCGGGUCUAAUACUGGAUAUGACUCCAUGACGCAUGUUGUGGGGUGGAAAGCCUUGUGCGGCUGAGGAUGGGCCCGCGGCCUAUCAGCUUGUUGGUGGGGGAUGGCCUACCAAGGCGACGACGGGUAGCCGGCCUGAGAGGGCGACCGGCCACACUGGGACUGAGACACGGCCCAGACUCCUACGGGAGGCAGCAGUGGGGAAUCUUGCGCAAUGGGCGAAAGCCUGACGCAGCGACGCCGCGUGAGGGAUGACGGCCU